Molecule: ribosomal RNA, 253 nt
Filed under: uncultured bacterium
Lineage: Bacteria
Description: partial 16S ribosomal RNA
Rfam family: Bacterial small subunit ribosomal RNA
Source: RNAcentral
GACGAGCUCUCCAAACGUUAUUCGGUAUCACUGGGCUUAAAGAGUUCGUAGGUGGCUGCAUAAGUCCGUUGUGAAAGUCAAAGGCUCAACCUUUGAAAGCCGAUGGAUACUGUGGAGCUAGAGUACGGAAGAGGCGAGUGGAAUUCCUGGUGUAGCGGUGAAAUGCGCAGAUAUCAGGAGGAACACCGGUGGCGAAGGCGGGUCUCUGGGCCGUAACUGACGCUGAGGAGCGAAAGCGUGGGGAGCGAACAGG